This 1011-nucleotide ribosomal RNA is filed under the name Staphylococcus aureus. Its description in RNAcentral is "bacterial SSU rRNA". It matches the Rfam family "Bacterial small subunit ribosomal RNA", at positions 1 to 993 of the family's 1533-position model. Lineage: Bacteria; Bacillati; Bacillota; Bacilli; Caryophanales; Staphylococcaceae. The record is from RNAcentral.
UUUAUGGAGAGUUUGAUCCUGGCUCAGGAUGAACGCUGGCGGCGUGCCUAAUACAUGCAAGUCGAGCGAACGGACGAGAAGCUUGCUUCUCUGAUGUUAGCGGCGGACGGGUGAGUAACACGUGGAUAACCUACCUAUAAGACUGGGAUAACUUCGGGAAACCGGAGCUAAUACCGGAUAAUAUUUUGAACCGCAUGGUUCAAAAGUGAAAGACGGUCUUGCUGUCACUUAUAGAUGGAUCCGCGCUGCAUUAGCUAGUUGGUAAGGUAACGGCUUACCAAGGCAACGAUGCAUAGCCGACCUGAGAGGGUGAUCGGCCACACUGGAACUGAGACACGGUCCAGACUCCUACGGGAGGCAGCAGUAGGGAAUCUUCCGCAAUGGGCGAAAGCCUGACGGAGCAACGCCGCGUGAGUGAUGAAGGUCUUCGGAUCGUAAAACUCUGUUAUUAGGGAAGAACAUAUGUGUAAGUAACUGUGCACAUCUUGACGGUACCUAAUCAGAAAGCCACGGCUAACUACGUGCCAGCAGCCGCGGUAAUACGUAGGUGGCAAGCGUUAUCCGGAAUUAUUGGGCGUAAAGCGCGCGUAGGCGGUUUUUUAAGUCUGAUGUGAAAGCCCACGGCUCAACCGUGGAGGGUCAUUGGAAACUGGAAAACUUGAGUGCAGAAGAGGAAAGUGGAAUUCCAUGUGUAGCGGUGAAAUGCGCAGAGAUAUGGAGGAACACCAGUGGCGAAGGCGACUUUCUGGUCUGUAACUGACGCUGAUGUGCGAAAGCGUGGGGAUCAAACAGGAUUAGAUACCCUGGUAGUCCACGCCGUAAACGAUGAGUGCUAAGUGUUAGGGGGUUUCCGCCCCUUAGUGCUGCAGCUAACGCAUUAAGCACUCCGCCUGGGGAGUACGACCGCAAGGUUGAAACUCAAAGGAAUUGACGGGGACCCGCACAAGCGGUGGAGCAUGUGGUUUAAUUCGAAGCAACGCGAAGAACCUUACCAAAUCUUGACAUCCUUUG